This 1731-nucleotide long non-coding RNA is filed under the name Homo sapiens (human). Its description in RNAcentral is "HSALNT0136362". Lineage: Eukaryota; Metazoa; Chordata; Mammalia; Primates; Hominidae. The record is from RNAcentral.
CUGGAGCGGGGGCCGCCUCCAAGUAUUGUCUUUCGAAUUAAGUUACUGUCGUCUGUGUUGUCAGGCAACAACUGACCUUAAAUAAAAAUGAAAACCAGAAGUAGGCUACACAUGCAAUAGGCUACACAUGCAAUAAUGGAUACUUAAGGAAUGGGAGUGGCUGCUGGUGACUGGAGCAGAGAGGGUGUGGUUUCCCCAUGUUUCGGGGCCGGGGGGAAGGAGUAAAGUCUGUGUUCAGAGCCCAGACGCCAUGUCGGUCAUCACAUCACCGGGAGAACUCGUGGAGCCUGAGGAAAGGCUACGGGGUGCCAGAGUCUGAAGGGGCGGAAGAUUGCAUUCCUAUCACGUUCGCCGUGGCGCACAGGGGCUCCGCUGGGGCCGCCGCUCCCGCAGGAGAAGUGGGCCUGAGACGGUGCGGCGUCGACCAUAGCCGGCCCAGCAGAAGCCGGGGAAGGCCACAAGUGUAACUGGGUCCGAGUACUGUGAAGAAGGCGCCUCCCAUGGAGAAAGCUACCGGGUAGUUUAACAAGGUGGAAAAGCGUUGGCCUGGGGAGGAGGAAAGGAUGCUCAGAAAGUUGCCUCAAAAGGACGCAGAAGUGGAGGUGAAUCUUCUGUUUCAGAGGCAUUUUUUUGUGCCUCUGUGAGAAUGCAUUGCUUCCUGGUUGAUCCAUCUUCAGGUUUUCUCUCCGUCCUAGUCCCUGUUCUGCCACCAUUCUGUGUUUGAAUCUGGUACCUAAAGCCGCAGAUACUUGGUUCAUAGUAGAUGUCCACUCUGCAGUGGCUGAAAACACGGAAGAAAAACCAUCUUUGCCUGGGAAGGACAUUAUUGCUAGUGCCAUUACUGUCAACAGUUGGAACAAGAUAAACGGCAUGCCCAAUCUAGUUGAGGAUUUUGGACACCGGGCCUCCCACUGGGACUCCGCCGAGAAACCAGGUCUGCCAUUGCCACCUCCGCCGGGCCUUGCUGUCUUAGCACAACGGAGUCUCGCUGUCACCCAGGCUGGAGUGCCAUUGGCGUGCUCUCGGCUCACUGCAAACUUCGCCUCCUGAGUUCAAGAGAUUCUCCUGCCUCAGCCUCCCAAGUAGCUGGGAUUACAGCGCGCUCAGGAAUAUAUGUUGAAACACAGAGAAGGAGGAGACUGACUUCGAGGAGAUGCACAGGAAGAUGGCCAUGUGGAGACAGAGGCAGACAUUGGAGUGAUGCUCAGAAGAAAAGGCACUCUAGGAGCCUGCAGAAGCCUCAGAGGUAAGGAAGGAUUCUUCCCUAGAGCUUUUGGAGGGUGUGGUCCUGCCCACACCUGGAUUUUAGACUGAUCCGCACAACCACAAGAUAAUAAUUUCCGUUGUCUUAAGUCAUUCUGUUUGUGUCAAUUUGUUAUUCAACCCUAGGAAAUGAAUAAACACCCUGACCUUCACUAUGACAGGGCGUCUGACAUUUCCUUUGGCCUUAGCCUGACACUGACUCUCCUCCUGGCCCCAGCCCUGACACGGCCACUCACCCGAAGCUGGACUUUAUCCUGGCCCUCACCAUGACCCUGAGCCUGACCCUCACCAUUAUCCUGAACAUUCUGUGUCCCUCACCCUGAGCUGCUUCUACCCUGUGCCCUCACAUUCACUUAGAGCUAGACCUUGACCACCCCCUGUCCUGCAAUCACCCUGAUAUUGAAUAUAACCUUCUUCAUAACUUUGACGCUGACUCUGAACUUGACCCUCAUCCUGAUAUGAACCCUG